RNAcentral lists this small nuclear RNA (107 nucleotides) under Carlito syrichta (Philippine tarsier). The record is from RNAcentral. Lineage: Eukaryota; Metazoa; Chordata; Mammalia; Primates; Tarsiidae.
GUGCUCACUUCAGCAGCACAUAAACUAAAAUUAGAAUGAUACAGAGUAGAUUAGCAUGGCCCCUGCACAAGGAUGACAUGCAAAUUCGUGAAGCGCUCCAUAUUUUU